UUAAUUUGAGAGUUUGAUCCUGGCUCAGGACGAACGCUGGCGGCGUGCCUAAUACAUGCAAGUCGAACGAACUCUGGUAUUGAUUGGUGCUUGCAUCAUGAUUUACAUUUGAGUGAGUGGCGAACUGGUGAGUAACACGUGGGAAACCUGCCCAGAAGCGGGGGAUAACACCUGGAAACAGAUGCUAAUACCGCAUAACAACUUGGACCGCAUGGUCCGAGUUUGAAAGAUGGCUUCGGCUAUCACUUUUGGAUGGUCCCGCGGCGUAUUAGCUAGAUGGUGGGGUAACGGCUCACCAUGGCAAUGAUACGUAGCCGACCUGAGAGGGUAAUCGGCCACAUUGGGACUGAGACACGGCCCAAACUCCUACGGGAGGCAGCAGUAGGGAAUCUUCCACAAUGGACGAAAGUCUGAUGGAGCAACGCCGCGUGAGUGAAGAAGGGUUUCGGCUCGUAAAACUCUGUUGUUGAAGAAGAACAUAUCUGAGAGUAACUGUUCAGGUAUUGACGGUAUUUAACCAGAAAGCCACGGCUAACUACGUGCCAGCAGCCGCGGUAAUACGUAGGUGGCAAGCGUUGUCCGGAUUUAUUGGGCGUAAAGCGAGCGCAGGCGGUUUUUUAAGUCUGAUGUGAAAGCCUUCGGCUCAACCGAAGAAGUGCAUCGGAAACUGGGAAACUUGAGUGCAGAAGAGGACAGUGGAACUCCAUGUGUAGCGGUGAAAUGCGUAGAUAUAUGGAAGAACACCAGUGGCGAAGGCGGCUGUCUGGUCUGUAACUGACGCUGAGGCUCGAAAGUAUGGGUAGCAAACAGGAUUAGAUACCCUGGUAGUCCAUACCGUAAACGAUGAAUGCUAAGUGUUGGAGGGUUUCCGCCCUUCAGUGCUGCAGCUAACGCAUUAAGCAUUCCGCCUGGGGAGUACGGCCGCAAGGCUGAAACUCAAAGGAAUUGACGGGGGCCCGCACAAGCGGUGGAGCAUGUGGUUUAAUUCGAAGCUACGCGAAGAACCUUACCAGGUCUUGACAUACUAUGCAAAUCUAAGAGAUUAGACGUUCCCUUCGGGGACAUGGAUACAGGUGGUGCAUGGUUGUCGUCAGCUCGUGUCGUGAGAUGUUGGGUUAAGUCCCGCAACGAGCGCAACCCUUAUUAUCAGUUGCCAGCAUUAAGUUGGGCACUCUGGUGAGACUGCCGGUGACAAACCGGAGGAAGGUGGGGAUGACGUCAAAUCAUCAUGCCCCUUAUGACCUGGGCUACACACGUGCUACAAUGGAUGGUACAACGAGUUGCGAACUCGCGAGAGUAAGCUAAUCUCUUAAAGCCAUUCUCAGUUCGGAUUGUAGGCUGCAACUCGCCUACAUGAAGUCGGAAUCGCUAGUAAUCGCGGAUCAGCAUGCCGCGGUGAAUACGUUCCCGGGCCUUGUACACACCGCCCGUCACACCAUGAGAGUUUGUAACACCCAAAGUCGGUGGGGUAACCUUUUAGGAACCAGCCGCCUAAGGUGGGACAGAUGAUUAGGGUGAAGUCGUAACAAGGUAGCCGUAGGAGAACCUGCGGCUGGAUCACCUCCUUUCUA
Molecule: ribosomal RNA, 1571 nt
Filed under: Lactiplantibacillus plantarum 16
Lineage: Bacteria; Bacillati; Bacillota; Bacilli; Lactobacillales; Lactobacillaceae
Description: Lactobacillus plantarum 16 16S ribosomal RNA
Rfam family: Bacterial small subunit ribosomal RNA
Source: RNAcentral